This 448-nucleotide ribosomal RNA is filed under the name uncultured bacterium. Its description in RNAcentral is "SSU rRNA". It matches the Rfam family "Bacterial small subunit ribosomal RNA", at positions 26 to 518 of the family's 1533-position model. The record is from RNAcentral.
AGAGCGAACGCUGGCGGCAGGCUUAACACAUGCAAGUCGAGCGGAUGUAGCAAUACAUCAGCGGCAGACGGGAUAGUAACACGUGGGAACGCGCCCUUUGGUUCGGAAUAACUCAGGGAAACUUGAGCUAAUACCGGAUAAGCCCUUACGGGGAAAGAUUUAUCGCCAAAGGAACGGCCCGCGUCCGAUUAGCUAGUUGGUGAGGUAAUGGCUCACCAAGGCGACGAUCGGUAGCUGGUCUGAGAGGAUGACCAGCAUCACUGGGACUGAGACACGGCCCAGACUCCUACGGGAGGCAGCAGUGGGGAAUAUUGGACAAUGGGCGCAAGCCUGAUCCAGCCAUGCCGCGUGGAUGAUGAAGGCCCUAGGGUUGUAAAGUCCUUUUAACGGGGAAGAUAAUGACGGUACCCGUAGAAUAAGCCCCGGCUAACUUCGUGCCAGCAGCCGC